RNAcentral lists this ribosomal RNA (253 nucleotides) under uncultured bacterium. RNAcentral's name for it is "partial 16S ribosomal RNA". It matches the Rfam family "Bacterial small subunit ribosomal RNA", at positions 524 to 776 of the family's 1533-position model. The record is from RNAcentral.
UACGUAGGGGGCAAGCGUUGUCCGGAUUUAUUGGGCGUAAAGAGCGUGUAGGCGGCUUCACAAGUCCGCUGUGAAAACUCGAGGCUCAACCUCGAGCUGUCGGUGGAAACUGUGAGGCUAGAGUCCGGAAGAGGAGAGUGGAAUUCCCGGUGUAGCGGUGAAAUGCGCAGAUAUCGGGAAGAACACCCGUGGCGAAGGCGGCUCUCUGGGACGGUACUGACGCUCAGACGCGAAAGCGUGGGGAGCGAACAGG